GCUCUUCAACGAGGAAUCCCUAGUAAGUACAAGUCACUAGCUUGUGCUGAUUACGUCCCUGCCCUUUGUACACACCGCCCGUCGCUACUACCGAUUGAAUGGCUUAGUGAGGCCUUCGGAUCGGAGGUGAGGACUAGCAAUAGACCUUACUUUCGAGAAGUUGGUCAAACUUGGUCAUUUAGAGGAAGUAAAAGUCGUAACAAGGUUUCCGUAGGUGAACCUGCGGAAGGAUCAUUACCAAUCUUUAGUGAGCCUGGACUUGUCCAUGGUCUCGCGAAAUCUUGUAUUUAAAACCUACUCUUAUAAUUAAAAAAAAUGUAUUAAUGAUAAAUUAAGAUCACUUUCAACAACGGAUCUCUUGGCUCUCGCAUCGAUGAAGAACGUAGCGAAGUGCGAUAAGUAGUGUGAAUUGCAGAAUUCCGUGAAUCAUCGAAUCUUUGAACGCAAAUUGCACUUUCUGGCAACCCGGAGAGUAUGCCUGUUUGAGGGUCAGUAUUAAUAAAAAUCGGUGCGUUGCAAAUUUUUGUGACGUUCCGGAGUUUGAGUUAUCUUAACUUGGUUCUAAGAGGCUUAAAAUUGACCUUUUUUGUGCAUUUUAGACGUACAUAAAUUUCCUUUAUUCGUCUAUCCUAAUGCCAAAAUCUAUUAGAUGCGACCAUGUCUUGUGGUUAUGUGUCUAUAAAUUUUUUUCAUGAUUUGACCUCAAAUCAGGUAGGAACACCCGCUGAACUUAAGCAUAUCAAUAAGCGGAGGAAAAGAAAAUAACAAUGAUUCCCCUAGUAACUGCGAGUGAAGAGGGACAAGCUCAAUUUUAAAUCUGUCGGUUUUACCUGAUCGAGUUGUAAUUUGAAGAAGCGUUUUCUGCGUAUUUGGUUCAGGCCAAGUCCUAUUGAUUGAGCAUCAUGGAGGGUGAAUAAUCCGGUCGACUGAUCAUUGGCGUUUUAUGAAUCGCUUUCUAAGAGUCAAGUUGUUUGGCUGCCAGCUUUAAGUGAAGUAUUUCUCUCUUAGACUUAUUACGCGAAGACCGAUGCCUAACAGUACC
Molecule: ribosomal RNA, 1042 nt
Filed under: uncultured Rhizophagus
Lineage: Eukaryota; Fungi; Glomeromycota; Glomeromycetes; Glomerales; Glomeraceae
Description: eukaryotic LSU rRNA
Rfam family: Eukaryotic small subunit ribosomal RNA (bases 1-237)
Source: RNAcentral